UGUCUUUUCACAUAGCUUAGUGUUUGUGUGGAGGUGUCUUGAAUGGACACAUCAUUGUUUAGGUGUCCCUUCAUCUUCACUUGUUCCAUUGUUGUUGUCUGUGCAUCAAUUCCUCUUGUUAGUGAACAAUUGUUCCUCUUCUUUAACUAGGAAGUUUCUUCCAUCGUCUACUCAAAAAUCUCAAUAUUCGUUCAGGUUCCGCCUGAUGUCAAAGAAGUCUUGGACACCUUCAAAGUAGAAGCUGAAUUAGGAAGCGAUUCACUUGGAGCUUAUGUUAUUUCCAUGGCUUCAAAUGCCAGUGACUCCUAGCCGUAGAGCUUUUACAGAAGGAUGCAGGCCUUGCUGUUGCUGGGGAACUAGGCAGGCCUUGUCCUGGUGGAACGUAAGACUGAUAUCUCUUUGGUUGCCGAUGCAAUAAUAAAACUUUCUUCAUGAACUUGUGCAAAAACUUAUGUGCAUUUGGAUGUCUGGCUGUGCACUAAAUUUUCAGAAUUAAUAUGAUCUAUAUUCAUGCAGUAGGGCUAAUGUUAAGCCAAUGAAUUGUCUUUUCAGUUUUCAUCUUAUGCUGGUACUUGUAAAAUUUCCAUCUCACGGAAGGUGGUAAUUUUUCAGUUCUUAUUAUUUAUCUGCAUUCAGACAAGUUCACAUGCCUACAGGGCAAUCUCUUUUCCCCUUUAGAUGAUUGGAUAUAAUCUUUAUGUUCUUCCUUUCUUUCUUACAUUGUAGGAUUAAUCUUUAAUGCUAUAUAUUUAUGUAUACAGAUGUGGUUGAGGGAUCCCAGAUAAUGUAAUCGACGACACUAUCUUAGUGCUUGCUAUGUUUCAAAUCUAUACUUAUCAUUGGUGGCCCUUAUGGGAUUUUCCCGGUGAUGUGAAUUAACUAUCUGGUUCUAAGUUUGACAGGGUGUUUGGUAAUCUGUUAUUUGAUGGAAAACUUGAUUGAUUUUUGGUUGUAAAAAUCUUUUAUAUAUGUGAGAUUUUAAAUCUUAUUACAGGAUUGAGGUGGUGGUUGUUUUGUUUUUAAAUCAAUGUAGAAAUUUUCUUCUUGAAGAAACUAGAAAGUAGCUUGUUGACGGAUGUCUAUAGCUCUCUAGUGUUUUGAAAUAUGCUACUGGCAGGCUUUUAUUAUUUAUAAUGAGUCCUCAUCUCAAAGAAUCUGGCUCAGUGAUUAGAAGAUUACUAUCAAUUGAUUAGUAUAGGGACCACGUUAUAACGAACCACAAUGGGCAUCAGGAGGUAUUUAUGACAUGAUGCAUUAGGCUAUCUAAAAAAGUUUCACUUUUGGGCUUAGCUCAUGGUUGGUGUGCACAGGUUAUGGUUGGUUAUUUUGAUUCUGGAAAAGAUGCUGGCCGUUUCACUGCUGCAUGGGAGCUUUACAAAGCUCAAGAAGAUGUUGUAGUUGCAUGUAAUGAAUAUGGAAUAAAAAUAACUCUAUUCCAUGGACGCGGUGGAAGCAUUGGCCGUGGUGGUGGUCCUACAUACCUUGCAAUUCAAUCCUAGCCACCUAGAUCUGUUAUGAUAUCGAUUACUACAAGUACUUCCGCUGGCUUAGAGCAGAUCCUGCCAUGGAUGUUUUAUAUAAGGGUUCUCUUAGAUCUACGGAACAAGGAGAAGUGGUGCAGGCGACAUUCAGAUUACCCCAAAUUGCUGUUCGGCAGCUAGAGAUAUACACUACAGCUGUUCUACUUGCUACUUUACGUCCCCCACAGCCUCCAAGGGAACAAAAAUGUCGUAAUCUGAUGAUGACAUAUCAAAUUUGAGCUGCAGGAGUUAUAGAAGCACAGUAUAUGAAAACCCUGAGUUCCUUACUUACUUCCACGAAGCAACACCUCAGGCUAAGCUAGGAUAUCUCAACAUUGGUAGCCGUCCAACAAGGAGAAAGAGUUCAGGUGGAAUCGGUCAACUCUGUGCAAUCCCAUGGAUAUUUGCAUGGACAAGACAAGUACAUCGAAAGAAAAGGGCAAGGUGACACAGGCCUAUGGAGAUUGUUGAAAAAAUUAAUGUAUGAAAGUUAAAUCAAAUAACAACACCGUAGGCUAAUUGGUGAGUAUUUAUUACAUAUAAAUUAGAACAAAAUAUUUACUCAUUAUAUAUGGUGACAAGUAAAACAUUAGAGAUUCGUGUAAUGUACAAAGGGGAUGCUUUUGCUUUCUGACAUAUAUGUAAAAUAUGAUCCGCUUCUUUAUUGCAAUGAUACCACUUAUAAUUCAACUAAUGUGAAAAUCAGAUCUUUUAUAUAAUGCACUAAUUUUUUUGAAAUAAUAAUCCUUUAAUGUUGGGUCGUGCUUUGCACGGCCAUGCUCUAUCUAGUAUAUAUAUAUAUAUAACGGCCAUGCUCUAUCUAGUAUAUAUAUAUAUAACAUGGGUGUGGCGGAUUUUGUUGAUUACCCAAAAUUAGAUGACCCAUCAGUUAAAAAAAAGUAAAUGAAUAAAAAAUACAAGAAAACCUAAAAGAAGCAGAUGUAUCUAGAAGGAGAUCAAAAUUCUCUCUCUUUUAGAAUCUAAACUUAAAAGUGAGCUUCUCUUUCGGUCGUCACCGGCCAGAUCCUUUAUCGUAGCUGGUCAUAGACUCCAUGGUCGAUAGCCAUAUCCUUUAUCUUUUCAGGCAUACCUGGUCAUUCUCUGAGUUGUAGCCAUGGUUACGGAUUUUGAGCAUAUGUGUAUCAGCACAAUCACAACCUCUCUGAUGAGUGAAAUCUAGUUAUGAUGUAACGACUUUGGAAGGACAUACAUCUAAGUCCAAAAGGGUCUUUUCUUGCAAUUGGGUAAGCAUUACUCCCAGUUUUUCAUUUUAUUGAUCUCGACUAUGUGUACUCAUGUUCAUAUCCCUACUUUUGUUUCUAAUUAUCUUGUAAUUUAUUAACCUUGGAAAUGACAAUCUUUAUAACCGCUAUUUUAUAGAUGUUGUCUGUAGAUUUAGACUCGUCUAUGAAAUCUUAUCUCUUAUAGCUAAUCAUGUGUUAUAUCGAUUUAGGUCUGAAUAUUCUACUACUAGAACUUUGUCUAUUAGAGAUGGUCCAUGUAACUCUACUAUGCAAAGUUGAAAAUUGUGAAAAACAAAAAUGUUACGACACUUAAUUGAAAUCUAAGUUUUCUACUGCCUUAUUUUGGCUGACUUUCGUUGAUAUUUACUUUUAUGUGGGGAGGUAUGGCGAAUGGAUGCAACAAUUUGAAUUUCAUUCAAGUGUUUUGUUUCUCUUGUUUUGUCUUAAUUUCAUAGGUUGGUAUACAUUGUCACCACUAGUAAAUGGUCUUGCGCUGCAAGCGGGUAGAACAUUCUUCUUUAAAUUUAUUAGAAUAAAACUUUUCUUGUAUUUUGAUGUGAUAGUAUUUUAAUAUGAAUUUAUUUUUUAAAGAAUAGAGGCUAUUAAAUUGUACUUCACAAUUUAUUUUAUUUAAAGAAACGGAAAAAUAACAAAUCAUAACACUAUUUUCUCAUAGUUUACAUGAUUUCAAUCUAGACAUUCAUUAAUUUGCUUUUGAAAUUUUAGAACGGUUAGUUUAUUUUUAUCAUCUAUAUGCAUGGUUACAUAGUAUCUUUAAUAAGAAAGUCAAAUAAAUAUUUUUUCAAUUUUCUUCUUUACCAAUUUCGUUAGUAUCAUCUAUAUGCAUGGUUACAUAUUUUUUUUCAAUUUUCUUAUUUAAUAAUUUCUCGUGUGUGUGUGUGUGUUUGUGUAUGUGUAACUAAUUGAAACAAUUUUACUCAUAGGUGUAAUGAUACAAAAACAAUAAAUUUACCGAGCCACUCAACAAGAGCAAAAUACACAAAUAUAUAACUAUGUAAAAGAAAAACAAAGAGUUCAGAAUUUUUAUUGUUUUAAAUUAGAGAAAACUCCUCUUUGGAACAAAUGCUUACAGUGCCUUAACACAAAGGUCACAACUCUUUAAAAAGGUCACAACCUUUGAUAAAUGCUACAACAUUUCAUAAAAGUCGCAACUCUUCAUAAAAGUUACAACGUUCAUGAAUGGUCACAAAUGCUUAUUGUGCCUUACCGGAAAGGUCACAACUCUUGAUAAAGGUCCCAACCUUUCAUAAAUAUUACAUAAUUUCAUAAAAUCCACAACUCUUCAUUAAAGUCACUUUUCAUAAAAGGUGUAAUUUUUCUUGAAAUGUCACAAAUGCUUAUUGUGCUUUACUGGAAAGGCCAUAACUUUUUGGAAAAGUCACAACACUUUAAAAAUGUCACAACCUUUCAUAAAUGUUACAGCAAUUCAUAAAAGUCACAACUUUCCAUUAAAGGUAAAGACUAAAUUCUGAAAUAAAUAAAUUAAAAGGAAAUCCUUGUUUGUGGUGGCUCCACAUAAACGGGCCUAGGGUUCUCUUUUGUAUAUACAACCCCAUCAGGUCCAUUACAUGAUGUUGAUCAGCGAAACAAUAAUGCCUUUUCUACCAGCUCCAGUGAUGGCAUAAUCUGCAUUUGUGAUGUUGGUGAGCGUACACAAGUCAAAACAUUUAGGACAUCAUGUGUGCUCCACUGAUGAAUGAAAUCAAUGCUCGUGAGUGGUACCCCUCAGAUUCCCUGUCGGCUUCAUGCUUUGAAGAUAACAUAGUUCAGUCCAGAUAUGGAGCAUGAAGUAAGAUGCCUGCUUGCAUGAUUUCGUAGAACACCACAAAGAGAUAUCUAUAAUCCAAUGGAGUCCAACUGGUGCUGGUACAAGCAAUACAAAUCAACAAUUGUUUCUGGCAAGGUAUGAACUUCAGCAAACGCUUCAUGCUUUUAUAGAGCGUGUGGCUGCUGUUUUCCCGGAGUAGGUGGAACAACACAUUCAACAACUCUUUAACCAAAUUUAAGCCCUCGAAGAAAAGGGUAGGACCCUUUCCCGAAGAAAAACCUUAUUGUUAGGAUGACCUAUUGCAUCAGCGGUGGAAACAAGAAUCAGUGGACACUUUGAAGUUUUAAGAAGGUUUAAAUAAGUGUAUGUUGACACAAUGUACUUUAUUUAGUGGAUAUCUACUUAAAUA
This is a non-coding RNA of Solanum lycopersicum (tomato), 4962 nucleotides long. The record is from RefSeq and is a predicted model, not a curated record. NCBI's taxonomy places the organism in Eukaryota, Viridiplantae, Streptophyta, Magnoliopsida, Solanales, Solanaceae.